UUCUGGAAUAAUUCUUAGAGAGAAAGGC
This 28-nucleotide non-coding RNA is filed under the name Rattus norvegicus (Norway rat). Lineage: Eukaryota; Metazoa; Chordata; Mammalia; Rodentia; Muridae. The record is from RNAcentral.